RNAcentral lists this ribosomal RNA (439 nucleotides) under uncultured bacterium. Its description in RNAcentral is "partial 16S ribosomal RNA". It matches the Rfam family "Bacterial small subunit ribosomal RNA", at positions 339 to 795 of the family's 1533-position model. The record is from RNAcentral.
CUACGGGUGGCUGCAGUGAGGAAUAUUGCACAAUGGGGGGAACCCUGAUGCAGCAACGCCGCGUGGAGGAUGACGCAUUUCGGUGUGUAAACUCCUUUUAUAUGUCAAGAAAAUGACGGUAGCAUAUGAAUAAGCACCGGCUAACUCCGUGCCAGCAGCCGCGGUAAUACGGAGGGUGCAAGCGUUACUCGGAAUCACUGGGAGUAAAGGACGCGUAGGCGGGUUGGUGAGUCAGGUGUGAAAUCCUACAGCUUAACUGUAGAACUGCACUUGAAACUUCUAAUCUAGAGUAUGGGAGGGGGAGAUGGAAUUAGUGGUGUAGGGGUAAAAUCCGUAGAUAUCACUAGGAAUACCUAAAGCGAAGGCGAUCUCCUGGAACAUUACUGACGCUAAGGCGUGAAAGCGUGGGGAGCAAACAGGAUUAGAUACCCUCGUAGUC